UACGUAGGGUGCAGGCGUUAAUCGGAAUUACUGGGCGUAAAGCGUGCGCAGGCGGUUUGCUAAGACAGGUGUGAAAUCCCCGGGCUUAACCUGGGAACUGCGCUUGUAACUGGCAAGCUUGAGUGCGGCAGAGGGGGGUGGAAUUCCACGUGUAGCAGUGAAAUGCGUAGAGAUGUGGAGGAACACCGAUGGCGAAGGCAGCCCCCUGGGUCGACACUGACGCUCAUGCACGAAAGCGUGGGGAGCAAACAGG
RNAcentral lists this ribosomal RNA (253 nucleotides) under uncultured bacterium. RNAcentral's name for it is "partial 16S ribosomal RNA". It matches the Rfam family "Bacterial small subunit ribosomal RNA", at positions 524 to 776 of the family's 1533-position model. The record is from RNAcentral.